This 404-nucleotide ribosomal RNA is filed under the name Actinomycetes bacterium. RNAcentral's name for it is "Actinobacteria bacterium partial 16S ribosomal RNA". It matches the Rfam family "Bacterial small subunit ribosomal RNA", at positions 355 to 776 of the family's 1533-position model. Lineage: Bacteria; Bacillati; Actinomycetota; Actinomycetes. The record is from RNAcentral.
UGGGGAAUAUUGGACAAUGGGCGCAAGCCUGAUCCAGCCAUGCCGCGUGAGUGAUGAAGGCCCUAGGGUUGUAAAGCUCUUUCACCGGUGAAGAUAAUGACGGUAACCGGAGAAGAAGCCCCGGCUAACUUCGUGCCAGCAGCCGCGGUAAUACGAAGGGGGCUAGCGUUGUUCGGAUUUACUGGGCGUAAAGCGCACGUAGGCGGACUUUUAAGUCAGGGGUGAAAUCCCGGGGCUCAACCCCGGAACUGCCUUUGAUACUGGAAGUCUUGAGUAUGGUAGAGGUGAGUGGAAUUCCGAGUGUAGAUGUGAAAUUCGUAGAUAUUCGGAGGAACACCAGUGGCGAAGGCGGCUCACUGGACCAUUACUGACGCUGAGGUGCGAAAGCGUGGGGAGCAAACAGG